Molecule: ribosomal RNA, 433 nt
Filed under: uncultured bacterium
Lineage: Bacteria
Description: partial 16S ribosomal RNA
Rfam family: Bacterial small subunit ribosomal RNA
Source: RNAcentral
AACGAACGCUGGCGGCAUGCCUAACACAUGCAAGUCGAACGAGACCUUCGGGUCUAGUGGCGCACGGGUGCGUAACGCGUGGGAACCUGCCCUUAGGUUCGGAAUAACUCCCCGAAAGGGGUGCUAAUACCGGAUAAUGUCUUCGGACCAAAGAUUUAUCGCCUUUGGAUGGGCCCGCGUUGGAUUAGCUAGUUGGUAGGGUAAAAGCCUACCAAGGCGACGAUCCAUAGCUGGUCUGAGAGGAUGAUCAGCCACACUGGGACUGAGACACGGCCCAGACUCCUACGGGAAGCAGCAGUGGGGAAUAUUGGACGAUGGGCGAAAGCCUGAUCCAGCAAUGCCGCGUGAGUGAUGAAGGCCUUAGGGUUGUAAAGCUCUUUUACCCGGGAUGAUAAUGACAGUACCGGGAGAAUAAGCGCCGGCUAACUACGUG